AAUCUUCCACAAUGGGCGAAAGCCUGCCGGCGCAACGCCGCGUGAGUGAAGAAGGUUUUCGGUUCGUAAAACUCUGUUGUAAGGGAAGAACAAGUACAGUCGCAACUGGCUGUACCUUGACGGCCCCUUAUUAGACAGCCACCGUACACUACGUGCUCGCAGCCGCGGUAAUACGUAGGUGUCAAGCGUUGUCCGGAAUUAUUGGGCGUAAAGCGCGCGCAGGCGGUCCUUUAAGUCUGAUGUGAAAGCCCGCGGCUCAACCGUGGAGGGUCAUUGGAAACUGGGGGACUUGAGUGCAGAAGAGGAAAGUGGAAUUCCAAGUGUAGCGGUGAAAUGCGUAGAGAUUUGGAGGAACACCAGUGGCGAAGGCGACUUUCUGGUCUGUAACUGACGCUGAGGCGCGAAAGCGUGGGGAGCAAACA
Molecule: ribosomal RNA, 422 nt
Filed under: uncultured bacterium
Lineage: Bacteria
Description: partial 16S ribosomal RNA
Rfam family: Bacterial small subunit ribosomal RNA
Source: RNAcentral